ACAAAGAAAAGAAAAAAAAAACGUUGGCUGGCUUCCUUCUCUCAUUCUGCUGAAGGCUGAGAGUUGAAGACUCUUGGAAGCUACCAAGCCCAAAUUAACCAAAGACUUGUCUGAUCUGUCAGAGAGUUGCUAUCUUCACUUGGCACUUCUAAAGAUGCUUUGAAUAAUCUUCUAAACAAAAGAAAAAAACUUUUUGUCUUUGUAAACGACUUACCUUAUCACUCUCGAGAUCUCUUAUGCAAGCUACGAGCAAGACUUACAUUUGUGUUACUAAACAUUCGGCUUCAUUUAUUACAAUGAAUUGGUUUAGUAGUUU
Camelina sativa (false flax) is the source of this 316-nucleotide long non-coding RNA. RefSeq lists it as uncharacterized. NCBI's taxonomy places the organism in Eukaryota, Viridiplantae, Streptophyta, Magnoliopsida, Brassicales, Brassicaceae. The record is from RefSeq and is a predicted model, not a curated record.